Corvus hawaiiensis (hawaiian crow) is the source of this 5550-nucleotide long non-coding RNA. RefSeq lists it as uncharacterized. NCBI's taxonomy places the organism in Eukaryota, Metazoa, Chordata, Aves, Passeriformes, Corvidae. The record is from RefSeq and is a predicted model, not a curated record. The transcript is spliced from 3 exons.
UGCUGAACUCUGAAAAGAGUGCAGAAAAAUGGACCCCAAAAUGGGUUUUGCUGCUCCACCUGUGGUCAUUUAGCACCCUCUGAAAUGAAUUUUCUGAGCAUGCAAGACAUAUACAUUCUAACUAAAUCAGCACCUACAAAACCUAGAAGAGAUUUAUUCCCGCUUUGGGGUUCACUGGUCAUAUCUGAUCACACCUGCACAAGGUAUGUGGGACAACUUUAGCAACUUUUAAAAUGUACUUCAGUGAAGUAAUAUUUUUACCUUGUUUAAAUUUUACUGCUAGCAGUAAGUUAGAUCAGAGUUGUUACUGCCAAGGAGCCAGCUAUUGAGUGAAUUUUUCAUUUCCACAUAAUCUUAUUCAUGGUUUGUCUGCUCAAGUAAACAUGGCUAACUUUGCUCUCAGCUAACUGAAAACAUUCAUAAGGUCAAAUCUAGUGUAAACAAAAACCUGUGUCCUGAAGCACAGAGAAAACACACAACAUUUUUUCAACAUGUUUUGACUUCUGAUUUUUUCUCACAGCUUUGUGUGGUCUGUAUAGGAAAGCCUCAUACUGCUGUUGAUAUUCCUGCUAUCAAGUGCAGUUUUAAGCUCCUUUUCCUCACAGGGCUUGCUAUUUAGAAGAAAAUCUUGGUGCAAUGGAGUUUACUAGCUGCCCUUUCCUUCAGACAAUUUUACUUUCUCUCUUGACAAGUGUGCUGGGAACCCUUUGACCUCAUCUUUCACAUUCCCUGUUGCACAAAUAACACUGAGUUGUGACUAUCACACAUAACACAGUGGCUGACUUUACCAGUUGCUGAGGCUUCCAUAAUGCCUUUGAAGCAAAACCAAAAAGCACUGUUACUUGGAAUCCUGGAAAUUACAAAUUUGAUUUUCAGCUGUAAAGGCUGGCACAACUUUGCUAAGGCUGAUGCCAGGUUACAGCAAUUUAGAUGCUAAACCUACAGGGGAAGAAAGGAAUUUAGAGCUUUACAAACCAUCUUAAACAUUAAAAUAUAAUUAAGGAUAACAUAAUAUAAUCUACUUUGUCUUAGAGAUGUCUCUAUGUUGAUGAGAUUCAAAAAAUGCUCUGUGUUUUUCCUUCUUUUUCUGCAUUUAAGCUAUAGCACCUCUGUAGUGUUUGUGCUUUUGAACAGAUAGAACGACUUGCAACAGAUCUAGUUUGAAUUUGAGCCAUAUUUUGGGGAAGGAUUGUUUUUUAUUGAUCUGCACCAAUUGCAUCUUCCUUUUGAAUGCAAUUGUAUUUCCAGAUGGAAAAUAUUUUAGUGUUGUAGCUACAAUAUUGAAGUGCUGUAGCUUUUCAGCUACUCCUGAGCUAAGUGUUAUUGAGGUUAUAUAACCCAGCAGAAUUUGUAUUCUAGUGCAAAUUAGAGUGUGGGAUUUCUAUUUUCCUCCAGAAUUCCACAGAAAAGAAACCCUGAAAUAGCUAUUAGCCUUGUGAGAUGGGCACUAGUCUGACGUGUAAGAAACUGCUCUCCUAAUACUCAGGUGCAGAUCCUAAUGACCUCCUUUUAAUAGUGCAAAGCAUCUAAAGGGCUUUGAGCCAGAAGGCAGGAGUCUUCAUCUGUAGAUUGCCUAAAUUCUAUCACAGGGCUCCAGCAGUAUCUAAUCAAAUCUCUAAUUCUGCAGCUUUAUAGUGACAUUCCAAUUCCAUAGUGAAUGCAUGAGUUUCAGUCUGAUUCUCUUCAUCCCAAAACCGACAUCCUUCUAUAUCCAUGUUCUAUUUCACAACUUCUGCAAAAUGUUUCUGCCCAAGAAUGCAUAUGUAAAGGUGUAUAGGUCUUGUGUGUGUAUCAAUAUCACUGUAAUGACUGUCUGAUUUUCUCAUAAAUUAGAGCAUCAAAGAAUAAUACAGCUGUAAGAAGAUUGAUAGGAAAACUAACCCUAAGCUGCUUCCUGUAUGAGAUGAAAGGAAGUUGAUGUGUAUACUUUGGAUGGUGCAGAGAACCUGAAAAUAUGCUGUACAUACACUGGCUUAUGUGUGAUGGAUGUUAACACAGGUAAAGAUGAAACCUUGGAUUACCAUGGAGUCAAGUUGAUGUCACUGGCAGCAUCGGAGGCACCGGGAGUAAGGAAUUUGAUUAAUGUGCUCUUCCAAUGUAAAAGUAAGAGGAAAAAGAAGUGAAUUGGAGCAUAUUGAAGCCAUAGCUCUUUAGAAACUCUGCCCUGCUACAUUCAGGACCUGCCUUGCCCAAAUGUGUCACUAGACAAGGAAGCUUCACAGAGCUGGGUUGUUUCCUGCUGAAAGCAAGACUAAAAUGAACAGGCAGAGAUAGAGAGGAGAUGAGAGACACUGUCAGAGACAACAGCUAGAGCUCUUUGUUCAGUUACUUGCCUGCUAUGAUGGUUUGUCUAUAAGACCUGGCAAACUCCUAAUUUACAGUCUACUUUUUGCUUGUAACACCUUUAAAGUUGGCCUGCAAUAAGUUGCUAGGGAGCAGAGAAGAGAAAAUAAAUAAUUGCCUAUACAAAACCAGUGCUGUGCUGAAUUAAUGAAGACCAUUCUGACCACAGAGAGUGAAAAUUAUUCUAAUUGAAGGAAGAAAUAAAACUAUUCAUGUCAUUUUGAAAGAUUGGGAUCUAGAAUAACAGUAAUAAUGAAGAGGCUGAACAUACCACCAGCUAAAAAGGUGGGGGGUAACUAGAGGCUGAAGAUACUAAUGGCUGAAAAGGUAAGGGAUAACAUCCAAUAAGCUGAAUUCCUUAUGAUGUUUCUAAUGUUCUGAUCCAGUUCCCAAUAAUCAUUAGGAUUAUUGGUGUCUGAUUCCUGCAAAUCUUAAGACAAUAUGUCUGUUAAGAAUUCACUCCCUUUUGCAGGGCUUUUAUUUAAGCUUGUAAACUGCUUUGAAAACCAGGGCAUUGUUCUCAAUGUAAGAGGAAAUAAAGAUGAAAGAAAAGACCUACAGGCAAAAAGGGAUGAAAACAGCAGAAAGCUGCUGCUGAAAGUUCAGACUGCAUCUCAUUGGAGAGGUUCAGCUGGAUUAUUUCCAAAGGUUCUCUCUUCAAAGAAGCAGGUUGUGGUAAUUUGCUUACCAGUCUGCCACUGGCUUUGAUGGCAUUCAGGUACUGCAGUCCCACAGUUUGCAAACUUCCUGUGAACUUAAAUAGGGCAGGCCAGCAGAGAGGUGAAGAAUAGCUUUGGCAGAAGGCAAAUUGUGUUACUUCGAUCAUCACUGUAAUUAACUUCAUUGUUUCAGUGUUAGGCAGCUGUCUCAACCAAGCAUAUGGGAGCUGCCCUUCGGCUAGAUACUAUAUGAACAAGUCUAUUCUGAAGACAUGUGAUAUGCAAUUAUGUAAUAUUUUAGAACUGACUUAAGAAGGUUUUGGACAUUUAGAUGCUUUUGAAACCACUAGAAGUUCCAGUCUGUGUUUUCACUAAGUCCUAGAAAUAAAUGAAAGGUUUUCACGUUUGUUCACUGAUUUUCAAAGUGGCAAAGCGAGUGGGCAUUAGGAGGUUGAGCUCUCUGUCAUUUGAUAGGUUUGAUCAAUUUUCUGCUGCUUUGAAUUACUUUUGUCUUUCUGAUAAUGAGCAGCUGUCUCACAACUGUCACUCACUUCUAGAGGCAUCAUCCACAUUUGCAUGUAGGUUUCCAGUGUUUGUCUUAUGUCUGAGAUUUGGACACCUUUUAUCUCGGGAAUGAAAUAUCCAUUAAACUUUGAAAAUAAACCCCAAUCCUUCCAGAUUGUGAUUGACAUUUCUGCAUGUUUAUGACCUUAGACAGUAGGUGAAAUGCAAUUCCUACUGGACUUUUUUUGCUUUUCUAUCAAUUUCUCGUUGUUUCAAGUGUUGACGGGUUCCAUGUUGUUUAUUGAUUUUUUAAUAGAAAUUAUUACCAUGCAUUUUUUCAUGAUUUCCACAACUCUGCUUCUCAGGCUUAGCCACCAAAGGCUUGAGCCAUUUAAAACAAUCUUCUGACUUUGUGAUUGCAUGGACUAUUUAUUUACUUGAGUAGUAGUUCUCACCCUUUGCUUUCAGUUUUAUAAGUGGUUAGAUAUGUACAGACAAGGGAACAAAAUGAGGUCUAAGGCUUGCAGUAAAAAGAAGGUAAGCCAAGAAGAUGGGCCUGUGGUUUAUGAGAAGUGCCUUUUCCUACAUACAUAAACUUUUAUUUUAAACUAACUAUUUAGAGAGGAAUGUUUUUUCUCUGAUAUUUGAAUGUUUAAUUAUAGAAACCCUGGGAUUUGGGCAACUGUUUUCUCAUCAGGAUCUUGGCUUUGCUGUGCAUUACUGACAUUUAUAUUAAACCUUACUACAUCAGUAUUUCAUUUUUUUGGCAAAGCAGCAGGCGGAAUAUUUGAACAUCUGCCCAUCAGCCAUGGAAUCACACCUCAUUUAUUGAGAGAACUUGCCCCAUUAAUUUGGGCUUGUCCUUUUAUGCACUGUGCUGGGACUUGAUUUAAGUCUUCUAUUUAUCAAAAUUUGCACCACUGAACACUUUUAUGGUACAGCUUUCACUAACCUGUUUUUAUAAAUGUCACUAUGUUAGGAAAUUCAUUCAUUGCCUUGACUUGGAAAAUUAGUUUUGAACACCAGGUGCAUAUAAUGCGUACUGAACUGAGUACUGUUAUGCAACUUUAUUGAUUAACUACUAUUGUUACUGAGCAACUACAAGUAUAAAAGUGGUGUUGAGUAUGACUAACUGAUAUGACUAAUGACUUUUUAAGUUUUGUGAAACCAGCAAACAUUAACUACAGAAACUAGGAUGCGCAGAAAGAGUGAAGAACUGGUUUUGUUUCAACAAGAAACAAAUAUGUAUACUGCAUUGAAUAGCUCUGGCUGACUCCUGAAUCCCAAGUAUGCUCCAGAAACCAGAUCUCCUGACUAAAGGUGUGUCUUCUGAUCUAUUGUGAACCUACAUCUUUGGGGAGGACUGUUAGCUGAAGGGCAAGUUACUGUGGUGUUUUAAAGGAGAGGGUUCUGUGGAGAAGAACAAGAGCAAAAGGUGAGCAUUGCAAAUUGCCAUAGUAAGUGGCAUAAGUGUUUUAGGGUUUUCCUGUUUUGCUCAAAAUUUUACUGAACCUGAAACUUUUUGUAUAGAAAUUACUUUAGUGUAGGCCAUUUCUACAGCUAUGGUAAAAGUCAGAUACACGGGAGCGCUGAGAUGUGGGUACUGAGUGUGACAAAAUGCAGAGAUCAUACUACUGUAAUACACUGGCUGUUGCAGCUGUGGGCUAAGGAACCAGAUUUGUUUCACUAUGCAAUUCAUCUGACAAUGAAAAGGUGUGUAAAAUGGAUUGCUUAUGGGUACAUUAGCUUCUAUAACUUAAAGGGAUCUUGAGUACACACAAAGACCUAAGUUGCCAGUUUCUUGAGCUGGAGGUAAUAAAAAUAGUCUGCAAGGACAUGAACAGUGCUCGUAUCCUAUUCCAGGUCCACGAAGCAGAAUGAAGCCCCAGCUCAGCCCUGCACUGUGUGCAGUUCAUAGGUGAAUUUGCCUACUAUUGUCUGCAAGUCAGCAAGCUCUGGUUACCCAGUUCCUGGCCAGACUUCUUAGCUGGGGCACAGCUCCUGGGUGUCAUGGGUUAGCAAAGCAUAGUCUUGGAAGUGAUGU